AAAGCCUUUUACUCAGCCCUGUGUAUGUCGACUAAAUAAAGAAUGCUCUUGUGCGGGUGUGAAAUGUCAAAACUUGUUUACAUUUCGUCCGAAAUAGGAGAUAAAUCACCGUGAACCGUGAAGAUUUUUCACUGUUUCCACGGUUUCCCAACAAUUUGCAGGAAAAAAGUUAAGGUGCAACUACGAAUAAAUUAUUGGCUGCAUAGUGUCAUAGUGAACGAAGACCAUAAUAAAAAAUAAAAAUGAACAGAAAAGAAA
This is a long non-coding RNA of Aedes aegypti (yellow fever mosquito), 258 nucleotides long. RefSeq lists it as uncharacterized. NCBI's taxonomy places the organism in Eukaryota, Metazoa, Arthropoda, Insecta, Diptera, Culicidae. The record is from RefSeq and is a predicted model, not a curated record. The transcript is spliced from 2 exons.